Molecule: ribosomal RNA, 408 nt
Filed under: uncultured bacterium
Lineage: Bacteria
Description: partial 16S ribosomal RNA
Rfam family: Bacterial small subunit ribosomal RNA
Source: RNAcentral
UGGGGAAUUUUGGACAAUGGGCGAAAGCCUGAUCCAGCAAUGCCGCGUGUGUGAAGAAGGCCUUCGGGUUGUAAAGCACUUUUGUCCGGAAAGAAAUCCUUGGCUCUAAUACAGUCGGGGGAUGACGGUACCGGAAGAAUAAGCACCGGCUAACUACGUGCCAGCAGCCGCGGUAAUACGUAGGGUGCAAGCGUUAAUCGGAAUUACUGGGCGUAAAGCGUGCGCAGGCGGUUUGCUAAGACCGAUGUGAAAUCCCCGGGCUCAACCUGGGAACUGCAUUGGUGACUGGCAGGCUAGAGUAUGGCAGAGGGGGGUAGAAUUCCACGUGUAGCAGUGAAAUGCGUAGAGAUGUGGAGGAAUACCGAUGGCGAAGGCAGCCCCCUGGGCAAGUACUGACGCUCAUGCACG